CGUGCGCCGUCGCCGAAUCCCGCGCGCUCACCGCGCCGUGGGAACCGGGGAACCACCUUCUGGGGUGAAUCGGGCUGAUCAGAGGCGACUCUGACGGCCCGUAGGAGACCUUCCUGCUCCGAACCCGUCAGCUAACCCGGUAGGCGGAAGGAAGGAAAGGA
The sequence is a regulatory RNA element, 161 nucleotides long. It matches the Rfam family "c-di-AMP riboswitch aptamer (ydaO/yuaA leader)". Rfam says of the family: This family represents a conserved RNA structure found upstream of the ydaO and yuaA genes in Bacillus subtilis and related genes in other bacteria. The ydaO/yuaA element is thought to act as a genetic "off" switch for the ydaO and yuaA genes in its native state. It is believed that the element may be triggered during osmotic shock leading to activation of ydaO, a predicted amino acid transporter gene, and members of the yuaA-yubG operon which code for KtrA and KtrB K+ transporters. The record is from Rfam.